This 375-nucleotide ribosomal RNA is filed under the name Escherichia coli. Its description in RNAcentral is "bacterial SSU rRNA". It matches the Rfam family "Bacterial small subunit ribosomal RNA", at positions 928 to 1303 of the family's 1533-position model. The record is from RNAcentral. Lineage: Bacteria; Pseudomonadati; Pseudomonadota; Gammaproteobacteria; Enterobacterales; Enterobacteriaceae.
AGCGGUGGAGCAUGUGGUUUAAUUCGAUGCAACGCGAAGAACCUUACCUGGUCUUGACAUCCACGGAAGUUUUCAGAGAUGAGAAUGUGCCUUCGGGAACCGUGAGACAGGUGCUGCAUGGCUGUCGUCAGCUCGUGUUGUGAAAUGUUGGGUUAAGUCCCGCAACGAGCGCAACCCUUAUCCUUUGUUGCCAGCGGUCCGGCCGGGAACUCAAAGGAGACUGCCAGUGAUAAACUGGAGGAAGGUGGGGAUGACGUCAAGUCAUCAUGGCCCUUACGACCAGGGCUACACACGUGCUACAAUGGCGCAUACAAAGAGAAGCGACCUCGCGAGAGCAAGCGGACCUCAUAAAGUGCGUCGUAGUCCGGAUUGGAG